UUCAUACUCUGCCAACGAUGAACGACUCUCUUAGAUCGUCAACAACACACGCUUUGCGGAAGUUCUAAAACUCCACCAAAAAUCAAGCUAUGUCCACAGCACCACAUAAGCUGUCAACAAUGAGCCAGGAGCUACAAAAACCCGAAAGCGGAUUGACUGAAGGCCCAACAUCAUCUAGCGAAACCUCGUCAUCCACAACGGCAUCAAAACACCUGUAAAACCACGGGCGUAGACCUCAACACUAUGGUCGCAGUAACACUUCACCAUGGUGUCUCUUAUUCUACGCAACACUUCGAGAGAUAAGCGACUCCUCAGUACAGACAAGGAGUAAAUCAGCUAUGAAAAAUGCAUCACCAUCGCUACCGACUACGAGCAUGAUCGACCACCAAAACACGCUAUGCGGCCAAAAAACUAAUACCGGACCCUUGGUAUCGUCGUGACAUCCACGGUUGAGGCAGUCAUCAAUACGAUCCUCAACGACCACGACGAACUUAUACACUCACAGCAACAUUCAGUAUCACCAGUUUAGUCAACACUGGUAUAAGCACUCGCGAUUAAAAGAUCAGAUAAUAGUCAAAUAACAAAACUCCAAAUGCCACAGCGCAUCAGAGCGCAGUCGAUCAUAGCGCCAUCAAUUUAGCGCUUUCGAAAUAAACUUUGCCAAAGAUCUAGCCCAAGACAAGAAACGAAAAAAAAAAAAACAUAUUAGCCCAUCAAAAUAAGAUAAAUGUCAGUAGAACAUGAAAAAUAUUGUUGUAUAUAAUAUCUACCUAAUUCGGCUCUAGUUGUUAUUUAGUGCCCAAAUAACAACCAGGAGAUAACAUUGAUAGUGAAUAACGCAAUUCGAUAGCCGUAAAUAUCACCAUAUAUAGCCGUAGACAGUAAGUGUAUUCCCUCUGUAGUAGCCGCUAUGGGCGAAAAUACUCUUGCAAAUCUGUCACUAAUUAAAGUGGAAGCAAGUAGUCAUCUUUGUGUAGUGCUAAGAUUUAUGUUGCAGAUACCACAUCAACAGAAAUCGAAAUCCUAGCUAGGAGCAAUCUGUCGAAUCUGUGUAGUUAGUAGUAUAGAACAAUAGCAUAGAACGAACGCUUCAGCCACAUUAGAGCGAAACAUCGGGCUGAACGAAAGAUGAUACUACAGUCAUCACCCUCACACUCUCUCGUUACUGUAACAGCAAGAGCGGCAAUUGGCCUAACAAAGCAAAUCGCUACGAACAUCGAUCACUUUUCGUAGUGCUCCGAGUCCCUCCAGAUCGCAUCCGCGACACCGCCAUCUGCAAACCUGCUAAUCCAGCGUGGUCGGAACAAAUCAUUAAGACAUCUCUUCGAAUCGGAAGAUCUAGCGUACAGGCAUUCGGAGGAGGAAAGAAGCAGCUACAAAAGUACCACCUAUCGCGCGUCGAUUGAACCACCAUUUUGCCUAGCACGAGCACAUAAAAUUCCAUAGGAGGAUAUCACCAGAUCAAAGCUGCGCGCGAAGCAUGAUUACCAAAGAAGGCUCUCAAACAGAGAGCCUUUUAUAGCGUGCUUCUCAGCGGCGCACGCGUCCCCGUCGUGCCAUCGCAAUCAGCACAUGCCGGCAUCGCCAUCUCGCCGGACUUCAUAGUGUGUAGCAAGCCAUACGAUCCGAACCGAAUCCGUUCGUUAUUCUAGUACCUCCCUGCUCAGUGACCGUGUUAGUGCAAAAGAAGAGACGCGAUAGUGUUAGUGUGACAGUCCGCAUGCAAACCGUGUGCGAGGAGUGAUCCGUUGAAGAAUCAUUGCCGAUCGAAUCGUCAUCGAUCACGGUCGUGUGUGUGCGUACACUCAACAAGAGUGAAUUCGUAAACAAGAGCUCAGUUGAGACGAAGCACUCGUCCACGAUCCGGUGGACACAUCAACGGUGAGGCAGUAGUUUGCGUGCGUGACCUAACAGCGACAUACACAGUUCAAGUCGCCUGUGUUGUACUUCUCGGCGCUCAAGAGUGCCUGUGCGUGUGUGCCACCUAAUCAGUAAACAUUAGCAAGUGCGUUUGCUUUCGAAUUACCCCGUCGCGAUACCUGAGUUGCGGAAUGUGAAUUAAGAAGCGGCCACGAAGAUUUCAUGUUCCAGCGUUUGGCCUGAAGGUGAAUGAGAGUUGUGAGGCAGCAUUUAGAUUGAUCGUCUGCGGACGGUGUAUUUUGCGGAAAGUGUGUAGCUGAAACGGCAGUGUAGCCAGCUUGUCCGAAUACUCAAGCGCUCGAAAGCGAGCAAUCGAACAUCGUCACGUCAACGGUGAACAUGAAGCAGCAAAGGGGCCCCUCCUCAUCGCAUCAGUGUGUCAAACGGCAGUGUCAUCGUCGGCAGGAGUAGUAAGCUUAGGGUAUAAGCAUAAGGUAGGCCUAGAUGAUAAGAAUGUUUGUAAUCAAAAUGGGCACAAUACACUCGAUAUCAAAUGUUAGUCCUUCAUAAAAUACUUAUUGGCUGCCCGAGUAUCUCAAUGACUAUUAGUGUGCUUUAGCCGGGCGAGAAGAGAAAAGGUAACAGAGCUCGUUCACCCAAUGAGUAGCGCAUGGCAUAUCUCUAAUUUGUUGAGUUUUGUUGAUUCAUGUUGACUUUAUAUUUGGAUUUACCUUCAUCUCCACAUAAACACAUGAAUA
Molecule: long non-coding RNA, 2618 nt
Filed under: Aedes aegypti (yellow fever mosquito)
Lineage: Eukaryota; Metazoa; Arthropoda; Insecta; Diptera; Culicidae
Description: lncRNA AAEL027823
Source: RNAcentral